This 69-nucleotide transfer RNA is filed under the name Acnemia nitidicollis. RNAcentral describes it as "tRNA-Cys". It matches the Rfam family "tRNA". Rfam says of the family: Transfer RNA (tRNA) molecules are approximately 80 nucleotides in length. Lineage: Eukaryota; Metazoa; Arthropoda; Insecta; Diptera; Mycetophilidae. The record is from RNAcentral.
AGUUUUAUAGUCAAAAUUUAAUGAUAUUAGACUGCAAUUCUAAAGGUGUAAUAUAAUAUACUAAGACUU